AUAGAGACUCAGAGCUGCAUAUCAAUAAGCGGAGGAAAAGAAACUAACAAGGAUUCCCCUAGUAACGGCGAGUGAAGCGGGAAGAGCUCAAAUUUGAAAUCUUAAAGGGUUUCCCUUUACGAAUUGUAGUUUAAAGAAGUGUUUUCUGUUGGAGUUUCGGUAAAAGUUCUUUGGAAUAGGACAUCAUAGAGGGUGAGAAUCCCGUAUUUGACCGUUACUUUCCAGCUGUGUGAUACACUUUCAAAGAGUCGGAUUGUUUGGGAAUGCAGUCCAAGAUGGGUGGUAAAUUUCAUCUAAAGCUAAAUAUUGGCGAGAGACCGAUAGCGAACAAGUACCGUGAGGGAAAGAUGAAAAGAACUUUGAAAAGAGAGUUAAACAGUACGUGAAAUUGUCAAAAGGGAAGCGUUUGACACCAGUGUUGUUUAGUUGAAAAUCAGUUCAAUAGUUUUUGAUACUAAGUAGUAUUGACUUCAUCAGCUUGCUGCUUUCUUUCAUGAAACUUCUUGAAUGCACUUUUCAGUUAACAAGUCAACAUCAAUUUCUUUUGUUGUAAAAGGGUAAGAGGAAGGUGGCUUGCGCUUCGGCUCAAGUGUUUAUAGCCUUUUAUCUCUGCAAUCGGAGAGAUUGAGGUCUGCAGCGUAGAUCCUUCGGGGUUAGAUACAUUGGUGCUAAGCUAUAGCCUUGUAUAGACAACUUGUUGACUAUGCUCAGUCAUGUAGCUUACUCGCUGAUGCUAUUUUACCUACGCUUAGGAUGUUGAUAUGCAUGACUGAUA
Molecule: ribosomal RNA, 775 nt
Filed under: uncultured Neocallimastigales
Lineage: Eukaryota; Fungi; Neocallimastigomycota; Neocallimastigomycetes; Neocallimastigales
Description: partial large subunit ribosomal RNA
Rfam family: Eukaryotic large subunit ribosomal RNA
Source: RNAcentral